UACGUAGGGGGCAAGCGUUGUCCGGAUUCAUUGGGCGUAAAGAGCUCGUAGGCGGUUCAGUAAGUCGGGUGUGAAAUCUCCGUGCUCAACACGGAGCGGCCACCUGAUACUGCUGUGACUCGAGUCCGGUAGGGGAGUGUGGAAUUCCCGGUGUAGCGGUGAAAUGCGCAGAUAUCAGGAGGAACACCGGUGGCGAAGGCGGGUCUCUGGGCCGAUAUUGACGCUGAGGAGCGAAAGCGUGGGGAGCGAACAGG
Molecule: ribosomal RNA, 254 nt
Filed under: uncultured bacterium
Lineage: Bacteria
Description: partial 16S ribosomal RNA
Rfam family: Bacterial small subunit ribosomal RNA
Source: RNAcentral